RNAcentral lists this long non-coding RNA (428 nucleotides) under Mytilus galloprovincialis (Mediterranean mussel). The record is from RNAcentral. Lineage: Eukaryota; Metazoa; Mollusca; Bivalvia; Mytilida; Mytilidae.
GUUUUAAUUAUUCUGGUCAAGCAAAGCACACAUGGAAUGACAUAUUCUAUAUUUUUCUCUUUUACCACUUAGAAAAGAGAACACCUUUGAUUGAGAAAAUAGGAAAAUGCUAAAAAUUGAAGAUGUGUCUAGAAUUUAAGAAAAAAUGAGCACAUGAUUAAAGAGAAAAAAGGAAUCUGAAAACAAUUCAAAUUGUAAAUUAUUAGUUGAACAUACCAGUACUUUUUGGCAACUUACUUUAAGGUUUCCAAAAUUGAAUGCAAUGGAAUUUUAGUUGAGAUCAGACUGUUGAAGCAGAAGCAUUUAAUUCAUAAUGUUAAUUGACCAAGCUUCAAUACUUUAGUAUUGCAUAUUUAAUUUUAGAGUUUGUAUACACUCUUCUAUGUACCAUUUGCUUGUAUACUUUAAUGAUUUAUUGUUUUGUACUU